This is a long non-coding RNA of Gopherus flavomarginatus (Mexican gopher tortoise), 1625 nucleotides long. RefSeq lists it as uncharacterized. NCBI's taxonomy places the organism in Eukaryota, Metazoa, Chordata, Testudines, Testudinidae. The record is from RefSeq and is a predicted model, not a curated record. The transcript has 4 exons.
CUAACAUUGUCUGCUCACAGGACAAUGUCAAAUCUGAAUAGCGGCUUUGUUGGAACUGAUCUCAAUAUGCACAUGUAAUGCUGACAGACCCUGGUCAUCAGCGAGCAGGAUCAAACCCAGGGACCUCUGGAGCUUAGUGCAUGAGCCUCUACAGCAUGAGCUAAAAGCCAGUUGGCUGUUAGCAAAGGCUGUAAAGCAGACUCAUUUUAUCUCUCUCUUUAAGUGGUCUUGGUGCCACUAGAUGGGACAGAACACCACACCCAGAAGGUUAUUUCUUUGUGUUUGCAGCAGCAGAGACCCCAUUCAAAAGUUAAAAAUGUACAGAGAGGAAAUAAGAGCCUACAUGCUGACCCUCAAGCUCGUGGGUUUGACUAGUGUCUUGCUAAAACCAGUCACCAGCUCCACCAUUACUGAUGUCAGCACCAAGUGUGGGAUAAUUAUAGCUCCUCCAGCUGACUGCUGGACCUCUUAAUAUGCCCACAGAGACUGAGGCUCCAACGUCAAAGUCACAUACAGAAAAAUCAUGAGAACAGCCUAAUCCUGAAAUUUCUGCAUAGUAAGACAGCUAGAAGAACUCAAGAUCCAAGGGCCAGGCAUCAAAGAGGGAAUGAACAGGGCCUAUAAGAUGGUUGAGAAAAGAAAAGUUACUACAUUGAAUCUUUACAUCGAUGGUUGGCCAAGAGUUCCUGCACCUUCAGUGUACCCAUCAUGCCACUGACAGAAUGACUCUUUCUUCAAUUGGUGUAUUGUAUUACCUUCAACAAUUCCUCUUACUCAUAUCCUUCUCAAAGAAAGCAUACAUAAAUUGUGUGUCAUUCUGAACUUGAUCUUUUAGGUGCUGAAUAUUCUGGUCCCAAUAUUGCAAAGCACUUAGGAUGGGAUUUUCAGAAGUGCCUAAGGGAGUUAGGCACUCAAUUCCUUUAGAGACUUUUGAAAAUCACUCUUAAGCAAGUAAUUCAUUGUAAGCAUGUGAGCAGUCCCAUUAGCUUCAAUGGUACUACUCACAAAUUUAAAAUUGGGCAUGUGCCCAAGUGCUUUGCUUGGUUGGGACUAGAGUGCUCAGAAUCUGGCAGUAUCAAGCCUUGUAUGAAAUGUUUUGAAAGGAUGCUGGACUUCUGCCCUACCAGCUGGAUUCAGCUACAAAAUCUGAGCAUCGAUCUCUCCAACCACUGGCCACCAUACUUCUCAGCCUCAAACAGUGAGAAAUCUCAAGGCAGACCUGCCAAGUGUUACUUACUGUUGAGAUAAGAUUAAUUCAUUUGUGCUUAAUUUUAUGCCAGUUUUGAAAGUAUUUCACUCUUGUAAUGAAUGUGUUUCAAUGAGACUUUUAAAAUAUCACUCCUCAUUUUUUUAAACCAGAAGCAUUUAAAUUUUUACAGUGUGAAUGAACCUUAAAUGUUUUAGCAAUAACUAAAUCAAAAUGUGAAUGUUUUUGUUCUUUUUAGCUAAUUAAAUACAAAAUAAUAAUAUCUGUAGGGAAGGGAAUGUUGUCUAAAGACUGGAGGAAAAAAUUAGAGUCUGUUCUCAGCAUGACAUUCUGCAUAACCUUGGAUAAAUUAAUUUGCUUCUCUCUGCCUUACUUUCCAUUUGUAAAAUGAAAAUAAUAAAAUGUAUCUAGUCUUAGA